RNAcentral lists this ribosomal RNA (468 nucleotides) under uncultured bacterium. RNAcentral's name for it is "partial 16S ribosomal RNA". It matches the Rfam family "Bacterial small subunit ribosomal RNA", at positions 28 to 507 of the family's 1533-position model. The record is from RNAcentral.
GACGAACGCUGGCGGCGUGCUUAACACAUGCCAGUCGAACGGAAAGGCCCUGCUUUUGUGGGGUGCUCGAUUGGCGAACGGGUGAGUAACACGUGAGUAACCUGCCCUUGACUUUGGGAUAACUUCAGGAAACUGGGGCUAAUACCGGAUAGGAGCUCCUGCUGCAUGGUGGGGGUUGGAAAGUUUCGGCGGUUGGGGAUGGACUCGCGGCUUAUCAGCUUGUUUGUGGGGUAGUGGCUUACCAAGGCUUUGACGGGUAGCCGGCCUGAGAGGGUGACCGGCCACAUUGGGACUGAGAUACGGCCCAGACUCCUACGGGAGGCAGCAGUGGGGAAUAUUGCACAAUGGGCGGACGCCUGAUGCAGCAACGCUGCGUGCGGGAUGACGGCCUUCGGGUUGUAAACCGCUUUCGCCUGUGACGAAGCGUGAGUGACGGUAAUGGGUAAAGAAGCACCGGCUAACUACGUG